AGGUACCGCUUUAAAUUUCGUGUUCGCGCCACUCGGUACAAGUGGUGGGCACG
RNAcentral lists this non-coding RNA (53 nucleotides) under unclassified sequences. The record is from RNAcentral.